GUGGGGAAUAUUGCGCAAUGGGGGAAACCCUGACGCAGCAACGCCGCGUGAGUGAUGAAGGCUUUCGAGUCGUAAAACUCUGUCUUUGGGGACGAAUAAUGACGGUACCCAAGGAGGAAGCCCCGGCUAACUACGUGCCAGCAGCCGCGGUAAUACGUAGGGGGCAAGCGUUGUCCGGAAUCACUGGGCGUAAAGGGCGCGUAGGCGGUUUGUUAAGUCAGGUGUGAAAGUUUUCAGCUUAACUGGAAAAGUGCACUUGAAACUAACUUACUUGAGUACUGGAGAGGUAAGCGGAAUUCCUAGUGUAGCGGUGAAAUGCGUAGAUAGUAGGAAGAACACCGGUGGCGAAGGCGGCUUACUGGACAGAGACUGACGCUGAGGCGCGAAAGCGUGGGGAGCGAGCAGGAUUAGAAACCCCGGUAGUCC
RNAcentral lists this ribosomal RNA (426 nucleotides) under uncultured bacterium. Its description in RNAcentral is "partial 16S ribosomal RNA". It matches the Rfam family "Bacterial small subunit ribosomal RNA", at positions 354 to 796 of the family's 1533-position model. The record is from RNAcentral.